UCUUGUUUCCCUGAUGAGUUCCACCUGUGUCUCUGUCCUCUGUCACGUGUCUCCGUCUGCUUUUUGCCUUUCCAUGGAUUUUGUGCACUUUCAUUGCUUGGAUGCAUUUUUUCCUUUUGGACUGUGGGUUCUUUCACCUCCUCGACUUCAUCACCUUCUCAGAGGAAAGGUUCAGGCCCUGUCGAUCUGCUGAUGCUGGUGUUCAGUCGAGAGAAACCUGAACAGCUGCAAAUACAAAAGCACAACGAUCCGGAGAGAUAAACAGGACGAGUUUCCUAUUGAAGCUUUCAGGUGUCACUCAGGCAGAACAAGAAAAUGUUUGCAACACACCAACAUCAAACAGCUAUGUGUGCGUGUGUGUGUGCGAUGACUACUUGAGUGACAGUCGAACAGCUGACCAAUGUUUCUUUACAUUCAUUAUUAAUAUUUAACUGGAACUGAAUGUGUGUGUGUGCGCGCACAUGCUGCACACGCACUUUGAGACAGUCUUUGUGUAUUUUCUACAUGCUGUUGUUACACUAACGUGGAAGGUAUCUUUAUUUCUCUGCACAGCAGCUGACUGCGAUAAUGUCUGAGCAUGCUCAGUUUGUGACCUUUAAGAUGUUAGAAGAGACCGAUAGAGCAGCUGUUGUCAGUGACUUGUUUGUACAAAUAAAACAGAAUAUUGAAUGUAAA
This is a long non-coding RNA of Micropterus dolomieu (smallmouth bass), 675 nucleotides long. RefSeq lists it as uncharacterized. NCBI's taxonomy places the organism in Eukaryota, Metazoa, Chordata, Actinopteri, Centrarchiformes, Centrarchidae. The transcript has 2 exons. The record is from RefSeq and is a predicted model, not a curated record.